This 301-nucleotide ribosomal RNA is filed under the name uncultured bacterium. Its description in RNAcentral is "partial 16S ribosomal RNA". It matches the Rfam family "Bacterial small subunit ribosomal RNA", at positions 509 to 807 of the family's 1533-position model. The record is from RNAcentral.
CAGUCGCCACGGUAAUACGAAGGGUGCAAGCGUUACUCGGAAUUACUGGGCGUAAAGCGUGCGUAGGUGGUGGUUUAAGUCCGUUGUGAAAGCCCUGGGCUCAACCUGGGAAUUGCAGUGGAUACUGGGUCACUAGAGUGUGGUAGAGGAUAGUGGAAUUUCCGGUGUAGCAGUGAAAUGCGUAGAGAUCGGAAGGAACAUCUGUGGCGAAGGCGACUAUCUGGGCCAACACUGACACUGAGGCACGAAAGCAUGGGGAGCAAACAGGAUUAGAUACCCGUGUAGUCCCUGUCUCUUAUAC